Molecule: ribosomal RNA, 403 nt
Filed under: bacterium
Lineage: Bacteria
Description: partial 16S ribosomal RNA
Rfam family: Bacterial small subunit ribosomal RNA
Source: RNAcentral
UGGGGAAUAUUGCACAAUGGAGGGAACUCUGAUGCAGCGACGCCGCGUGAACGAAGAAUGCUUUCGAGUCGUAAAGUUCUUUUAUAUGGGAAGAUAAUGACGGUACCAUAAGAAAAAGCCCCGGCUAACUACGUGCCAGCAGCCGCGGUAAUACGUAGGGGGCUAGCGUUGUCCGGAAUCACUGGGCGUAAAGGGUUCGCAGGCGGAAAUGCAAGUCAGGUGUAAAAGGCAGUAGCUUAACUACUGUAAGCAUUUGAAACUGCAUAUCUUGAGAAGAGUAGAGGUAAGUGGAAUUUUUAGUGUAGCGGUGAAAUGCGUAGAUAUUAAAAAGAAUACCGGUGGCGAAGGCGGCUUACUGGGCUCAUUCUGACGCUGAGGAACGAAAGCGUGGGUAGCAAACAGG